UCCACUUUAUGUCUGAGUAGUAUUCCAUGGUGUAUAUAUACCACAUUUUGUUUAUCCACUCAUUGGUGGAUGGGCACUUAGAUUGAUUGCAUAUCUUUGCAAUCGCCAGUUGGAAACACCCCAUUUUAAAUGUGGGUGUCUGAAUGAAGAGACCACAGGUUUUGGGUGCUGCUAUGUCCAUAAUCCCAGUAAUAAAGUGGAUUUUCACUAUCAUCCAAAAGAGAGAAUGCACGCACACUACAUCUUUGUGCCCAUGAGAUAUUUGUCAUGUCACACCAGCAAACACAGGAACUGAAUUUUUAACUUAAAAGACCAACCAUUUAAUUUUCAAACUACAGUACAUAAAACAGGAGCAGCUCUGAAGUGGUUUUAUAUUUUAAGAGCAUGAUUUUUAGUUUUGCAAUUGCCUCUCACACUCUGAAUGUUCAAUUAUUGAUUGAACAGAUUGUUAUGAUCCCAAUAAAAUAAAGUUUUAAGCUGAGAAUCUUGCCUUGCCACACAGCUGCGUUCCACUUCAACAAUGCUUUGGCUGCGAUGGAAACCUGUCUCCUUUAAAGGAGCCGUGGUGGGGACCCCCCCAGAGACAUGCCUUGUCUUUGAAGAUGCUCCCAAUGGGGUGGAGGCAGCCCUGGCAGCUGGGAUGCAGGUGGUCAUGGUUCCAGAUGGAAACUUGAGCCGAGACCUGACGACAAAGGCCACCGUGGUGCUGAAUUCCCUGCAAGACUUCCAGCCCGAGCUGUUUGGUUUGCCUCUCUAUGACUGAAAGAGAGGGCCUCACUUUGCCACCCCCCAGCCCACUCUCAUGGUCCACACUGCUGGGGAAAAGAAAAGGAAAUCAGCAACUCUCAAACCCCAACGUGCACAGUGAUUUUAGCCUCCUGAGAUUGGUGUUUCCAUCCUGCGUUGGCUUGCCCUACUCUAGCGUAUUGAUAAAACGUGACUUGACAGUUGAGAGAAACACGGUAGAGACAGAAACGAAGCCCAGAACAAAGAUGAAACUUGAAUUACCAUCUCAAAAAUCAGGCUGACGGACUAUGCGAUAAAGUGAAUGUACAUGUAUACAUCUACACAUGCACCUCUAUAUAUGCAGAUGUAUAUCAGUAAGUUAAUAUGCAUGUAGGAAAUUACAUGUGUAUGUAUGUAGAUAUAUGUGAAAUACAUACUUUUCAAAGACAAAAAUGGAACAUCAUUUCUCUUUUAUUCUAGUUUUUCUGAACACUGGGAAAUGUAAACUGUGUAUGCAUAUAAGUAUAUGCUUUAUAUAUUCAUAUGUAUGUACAUAUAUCUGUCAUCUGCAUCACUCUCCUCAGUGUUGAUGUCAGCAUACAGUGACAACUGAUAAAGAGAGAUGGUAGUUCUGCCUGGCUUCCAGUCUGAGUGGGAAAGCCCUGCUUUUAUGAGCACUAAGAAGUGCUUCUCCUUGUUAGCUAACAUUUAAAUUCUUUUUGUGACCUCAGAAUGUCUCUGGAUCUUUCCUCAUUGACUGACUCUGAGCCACAUCAUCCAUAGUUUAUUGUUAGUAUGAACACAACUGUAGCAUUUACCUGGUAUCUACAUCCUUAUCUACAUUGGAGAAUGCUUUCUACCUCAGAGCAAACAUUUGCCUCCUUAAAGAACACUGAUGGCCUACACUUUUUGGAUAGAAAUAGAAGUUGAUUUCAGAAAGUAUGCUUGGUGAGUCUGAGUGCCCUGGGAACACUUUUGGAAUAAUUUAUCAGACAUUGAACUUCUGUGAUUAAUUGCUUUUAUCGAUUUACACAGUCUUUAAAAUUUGUCUGUGAUUUGCCAGAGAAAAAUGGUGGUAGCCAUGGAAAUCGGGAGUGAAGGAGUGCUGCUCCAUUGUGGUUCAGCCCUUCCCAGUGGCCUCUGCCCUUUGAUGUCCUUGAGAAGAUCUUCAAACCUGGAAGUUGCAGACAGACCAUAGGAAGGCAUGUAUGUGUGUGGUGGAGUGAUUGUCUGUAGAUGACAGGCCCUGGCUAUUGCAUCAAUUUAGCAAAUUUAUUUCUUCAUUCCCAAUGGCCUAUAUACAUGUGCACUUUCAAUGCUCCUCUUAACCAGUUGUAUUGUCUGUUUCCCUAACAAAUUGAAUUAGUUUAAUAAAAUCUUUUAACACA
This is a long non-coding RNA of Cebus imitator (Panamanian white-faced capuchin), 2114 nucleotides long. RefSeq lists it as uncharacterized. The record is from RefSeq and is a predicted model, not a curated record. The transcript is spliced from 2 exons. Lineage: Eukaryota; Metazoa; Chordata; Mammalia; Primates; Cebidae.